CCUGCGGAGGGAUCAUUACCGAGUUUACAACUCCCAAACCCAAUGUGAACGUUACCAAACUGUUGCCUCGGCGGGAUCUCUGCCCCGGGUGCGUCGCAGCCCCGGACCAAGGCGCCCGCCGGAGGACCAACCAAAACUCUUUUUGUAUACCCCCUCGCGGGUUUUUUAUAAUCUGAGCCUUCUCGGCGCCUCUCGUAGGCGUUUCGAAAAUGAAUCAAAACUUUCAACAACGGAUCUCUUGGUUCUGGCAUCGAUGAAGAACGCAGCGAAAUGCGAUAAGUAAUGUGAAUUGCAGAAUUCAGUGAAUCAUCGAAUCUUUGAACGCACAUUGCGCCCGCCAGUAUUCUGGCGGGCAUGCCUGUCCGAGCGUCAUUUCAACCCUCGAACCCCUCCGGGGGGUCGGCGUUGGGGAUCGGCCCUGCCUCUUGGCGGUGGCCGUCUCCGAAAUACAGUGGCGGUCUCGCCGCAGCCUCUCCUGCGCAGUAGUUUGCACACUCGCAUCGGGAGCGCGGCGCGUCCACAGCCGUUAAACACCCAACUUCUGAAAUGUUGACCUCGGAUCAGGUAGGAAUACCCGCUGAACUUAAGCAUAUCAUA
Molecule: ribosomal RNA, 597 nt
Filed under: Trichoderma harzianum
Lineage: Eukaryota; Fungi; Ascomycota; Sordariomycetes; Hypocreales; Hypocreaceae
Description: eukaryotic LSU rRNA
Rfam family: 5.8S ribosomal RNA (bases 219-372)
Source: RNAcentral